GUAAAACAACCUUAACUUAUUCUCAAACUUUAAAUUGGUAAGAAGUCCGACUUGCUUAAUUGAAGCCGGACAGUGAAUGCGAGUUCCUAGUGGGCCAUUUUUGGUAAGCAGAACUGGCGAUGCGGGAUGAACCGAACGCGCGGUUAAGGUGCCAAAGUCGACGCUCAUCAGACCCCACAAAAGGUGUUGGUUGCUCUAGACAGCAGGACGGUGGCCAUGGAAGUUGGAAUCCGCUAAGGAGUGUGUAACAACUCACCUGCCGAAGCAACUAGCCCUGAAAAUGGAUGGCGCUCAAGCGUCGCACCUAUACCGUGCCGUCGGAGCAGAUGCGAAGCUCCGACGAGUAGGAGGGCGUGGGGGUCGUGACGCAGCCUCUGGCGCGAGCCUGGGUGAAACGGCCUCCAGUGCAGAUCUUGGUGGUAGUAGCAAAUAUUCAAAUGAGAGCUUUGAAGACCGAAGUGGAGAAAGGUUCCAUGUGAACAGCAGUUGGACAUGGGUUAGUCGAUCCUAAGAGAUAGGGAAAUUCCAUUUGCAAGCGCCCGAUCUUGGGCCGCCUAUCGAAAGGGAAUCGGGUUAAUAUUCCCGAACCGGGACGCGGAUAUUGCCGUUCGCGGCAGAUGCGGUAACGCAAACGAACACGAAGACGCUGGCGGGGGCCCUGGGAAGAGUUCUUUUUUCUUUUUAACGAGCUUUCACCCUGAAAUCAGCUUGCCUGGAAGCGGCCCCUGCAUUUUUUCUGUGAAAAAAACUACACCUGUAUGACAACUAAACCACUUAUCUCCUCCUCCCCCCUAGGAGGGUGGUUAGGAGAAACGAGCGGAAAAAAAAAGAGAACAACUUUUAACGGUGGAUCUCUUGGCUCGUGCAUCGAUGAAGAACGCAGCCAGGUGCGAUAAGUAGUGUGAAUUGCAGAAUUCAGUGAAUCAUCGAAUCUUUGAACGCAAAUGGCGCUCUUGGGUUUUCCCAGGAGCAUGUCUGUCUGAGUGUCGGUUUCCAAAAAGAGAACUCUCUCUUCUAAU
Molecule: non-coding RNA, 1019 nt
Organism: Nematostella vectensis (starlet sea anemone)
Lineage: Eukaryota; Metazoa; Cnidaria; Anthozoa; Actiniaria; Edwardsiidae
Source: Rfam